This 228-nucleotide long non-coding RNA is filed under the name Lathyrus oleraceus (garden pea). Its description in RNAcentral is "Pisum sativum (pea) long non-coding RNA (PSAT_LNC040346)". Lineage: Eukaryota; Viridiplantae; Streptophyta; Magnoliopsida; Fabales; Fabaceae. The record is from RNAcentral.
UUCAAGUUACUCUUCUGACAGAGUAAUUUUCUGUUGUUUUGUCAUUUUUGCAUGAAAAUCCUACGUUCUGCCCAAGGCGUAGUGAUUCAUUUUGUAGGGCCUCAUCAUGUUUUAUUGAUUAUCAUUAAUGAAGGACAUUUUUUUGAAAUCAAACUUUGUGAUCCCUGUCUUUCUAUUUUUGUUUUCAUUUUUCUUUUUCAAAAAACAAUAAAAAUGGCAAUGUUUUUU